UACGGGAGGCAGCAGUGGGGAAUAUUGCACAAUGGGCGAAAGCCUGAUGCAGCUAUGCCGCGUGUAUGAAGAAGGCCUUAGGGUUGUAAAGUACUUUCAUCGGGGAGGAAAAAACAAAACUAAUAAUUUUAUUUCUUGACGUUACCCGAAAAAGAAGCACCGGCUAACUCCGUGCCAGCAGCCGCGGUAAUACGGAGGGUGCUAGCGUUAAUCAGAAUUACUGGGCGUAAAGAGCACGUAGGUGGUUUUUUUAAAGUCAGAUGUGAAAUCCCUGGGCUUAACCUAGGAACUGCAUUUUGAAACUGAAAUACUAGAGUAUCGUAGAGGGAGGUAGAAUUCUAGGUGUAGCGGUGAAAUGCGUAGAUAUCUGGAGGAAUACCUGUGGCGAAAGCGGCCUCCUAAACGAAUACUGACACUGAGGUGCGAAAGCGUGGGGAGCAAACAGGGAUUAGAUACCCUCUGAGACUACCAAGGCACAACAAGGGGAUAGG
Molecule: ribosomal RNA, 491 nt
Filed under: uncultured bacterium
Lineage: Bacteria
Description: bacterial SSU rRNA
Rfam family: Bacterial small subunit ribosomal RNA
Source: RNAcentral